RNAcentral lists this long non-coding RNA (480 nucleotides) under Gossypium raimondii (Peruvian cotton). Its description in RNAcentral is "long non-coding RNA (GRAI_LNC005279)". Lineage: Eukaryota; Viridiplantae; Streptophyta; Magnoliopsida; Malvales; Malvaceae. The record is from RNAcentral.
UGUGUUUAGUUGCGUGUUUAAAUGAUAGAAUGGGUUUGUUGGUCUGGUGGUUGGUAGUGUGUUAGUGUGCCUUUUGGUCCCGGGUUCAAGCCCCUAGGAGUGUUUUGAGGGACCAUUUUUUUUGUUUUUUUUAAAGGUUUAGAUAAUUAUCUUCUUUACUUAGUGUUUAUUUUUUUCUUUUCUUUCUUUUUGGACAUUCUCCUCUUCCCCUUUAUUUGUUUUCUUUUUGUUAUUUCUUCUUUUCUUUUUUGAAAAAGGUUGUGUUUGUAACACCCCUAAUCCCUCUCAGUCGCCAGAAUAAGGUCAUGGAGUAUUACCAAAGUUUACAGAUCAAUUACAGAAAAAUUCAUAUAAUUUACUAUUCAUAUCCAAAAUGAUUCAUUCAGAGAAUCUUUCGUGAAAUUUAUAAAUUUUUGCUUAGGUGUAGGGGACAGAUGCCCGUGUGGCCAAGCCGUGUGGCUCACACGGCCAAGUGACUCG